This 484-nucleotide ribosomal RNA is filed under the name uncultured bacterium. Its description in RNAcentral is "partial 16S ribosomal RNA". It matches the Rfam family "Bacterial small subunit ribosomal RNA", at positions 30 to 507 of the family's 1533-position model. The record is from RNAcentral.
AUUGAACGCUGGCGGCAGGCCUAACACAUGCAAGUCGAGCGGAUGAAGGGAGCUUGCUCCUGGUUUCAGCGGCGGACGGGUGAGUAAUGCCUAGGAAUCUGCCUGGUAGUGGGGGAUAACGUCCGGAAACGGGCGCUACUACCGCCUACGUCCUGCGGGAGCAAGUGGGGGAUCUUCGGACCUCACGCCCUCAGAUGAGCCUAGGUCGGAGUAGCUAGUUGGUGGGGUAAAGGCCUUCCAAGGCGACGAUCCGUAACUGGUCUGAGAGGAUGAUCAGUCACACUGGAACUGAGACACGGUCCAGGCUCCUACGGGAGGCAGCAGUGGGGAAUAUUGGACAGUGGGCGGAAACCUGAUCCAGCCAUGCCGCGUGUGUGGAGAAGGUCUUCGGAUUGUAAAGCACUUUAAGUUGGGAGGAAGGGCAGUAAGUUAAUACCUUGCUGUUGUGACGUUACCAACAGAAUAAGCACCGGCUAACUUCGUG